CCCUUAGAUGUUCGGGGCUGCACGCGCGCUACACUGUAGAAAGCAGCGUGCUUUAAAACCUUUCCUGAAAAGGAUGGGUAACCCCAGCAAAAUUCUACGUGCUUGGGAUAGAGAUUUGCAAUUUUCUCUCUUGAACGAGGAAUUCCCAGUAAGUGCGAGUCAUCAGCUCGCGUUGAUUACGUCCCUGCCCUUUGUACACACCGCCCGUCGCUACUACCGAUUGGGAAAAUUUUAGAGAGUCCUGGACUGAUGAUUGUUCGGCUUCACGGCCUUACUUUCGUCGGGAAAGAAUUCGAUAAUAUUUUUCUAGAGGAAGUAAAAGUCGUAACA
RNAcentral lists this ribosomal RNA (330 nucleotides) under uncultured eukaryote. Its description in RNAcentral is "partial 18S ribosomal RNA". It matches the Rfam family "Eukaryotic small subunit ribosomal RNA", at positions 1470 to 1796 of the family's 1831-position model. The record is from RNAcentral.